CCUACGGGAGGCAGCAGUGAGGAAUAUUGGUCAAUGGGCGCGAGCCUGAACCAGCCAAGUAGCGUGAAGGAUGACUGCCCUACGGGUUGUAAACUUCUUUUAUAAAGGAAUAAAGUGAGGCACGUGUGCCUUUUUGUAUGUACUUUAUGAAUAAGGAUCGGCUAACUCCGUGCCAGCAGCCGCGGUAAUACGGAGGAUCCGAGCGUUAUCCGGAUUUAUUGGGUUUAAAGGGAGCGUAGAUGGGUUGUUAAGUCAGUUGUGAAAGUUUGCGGCUCAACCGUAAAAUUGCAAUUGAUACUGGCAGCCUUGAGUACAGUUGAGGUAGGCGGAAUUCGUGGUGUAGCGGUGAAAUGCUUAGAUAUCGGGAGGAACACCAGUGGCGAAGGCGGCCUACUGGGCUUUAACUGACGCUGAGGCACGAAAGCGUGGGUAGCAAACAGGAUUAGAUACCCUUGUAGUC
This 460-nucleotide ribosomal RNA is filed under the name uncultured bacterium. RNAcentral's name for it is "partial 16S ribosomal RNA". It matches the Rfam family "Bacterial small subunit ribosomal RNA", at positions 338 to 795 of the family's 1533-position model. The record is from RNAcentral.